Non-coding RNA from Sturnus vulgaris (Common starling), 236 nucleotides. Lineage: Eukaryota; Metazoa; Chordata; Aves; Passeriformes; Sturnidae. The record is from RefSeq and is a predicted model, not a curated record.
GCCGCGCUGUCCCCCCAGUUCAUGGUGCACGAGGUGCCGGGCCAGGAGCUGGAGGUGGAGCUGUUCGACAAAGACCCCGACAAGGACGAUCUCCUGGGCAGGAUGAAGCUGGACCUCGGGGAGGUGCUCAGGGCUCGGGUGAUGGAGGAGUGGUUCCCGCUGCAGGAGGGGGGGCAGGGCCGGCUCCAGCUGCGCCUCCAGUGGCUCUCGCUGCUCCGCGACGCCUCCAGCCUGGA